Molecule: ribosomal RNA, 367 nt
Filed under: uncultured organism
Description: bacterial LSU rRNA
Rfam family: Bacterial large subunit ribosomal RNA
Source: RNAcentral
CUUUACUGUAGCUUUGUAUUGGACUUUGAACAGAUCUGUGUAGGAUAGGUGGGAGGCUUUGAAGGGUGGAUGCUAGUUCACCUGGAGCCGACGUUGAAAUACCACCCUGGUGUGUUUGAGGUUCUAACCUUGGUCCCUAAUCGGGAUCGGGGACAGUGCAUGGUAGGCAGUUUGACUGGGGCGGUCUCCUCCCAAAGCGUAACGGAGGAGUUCGAAGGUACGCUAGUUACGGUCGGACAUCGUGACGAUAGUGCAAUGGCAUAAGCGUGCUUAACUGCGAGACUGACAAGUCGAGCAGAUGCGAAAGCAGGACAUAGUGAUCCGGUGGUUCUGUAUGGAAGGGCCAUCGCUCAACGGAUAAAAGGUA